AGAGUUUGAUCAUGGCUCAGAUUGAACGCUGGCGGAAUGCUUUACACAUGCAAGUCGAGCGGCAGCGCGGGGGCAACCCUGGCGGCGAGCGGCGAACGGGUGAGUAAUACAUCGGAACGUACCCUAGAGUGGGGGAUAACGUAGCGAAAGUUACGCUAAUACCGCAUACGAUCUACGGAUGAAAGUGGGGGAUCGCAAGACCUCAUGCUCGUGGAGCGGCCGAUAUCUGAUUAGCUAGUUGGUAGGGUAAAAGCCCACCAAGGCAUCGAUCAGUAGCUGGUCUGAGAGGACGACCAGCCACACUGGAACUGAGACACGGUCCAGACUCCUACGGGAGGCAGCAGUGGGGAAUUUUGGACAAUGGGCGAAAGCCUGAUCCAGCAAUGCCGCGUGAGUGAAGAAGGCCUUCGGGUUGUAAAGCUCUUUUGUCAGGGAAGAAACGGUGAGAGCUAAUAUCUCUUGCUAAUGACGGUACCUGAAGAAUAAGCACCGGCUAACUACGUGCCAGCAGCCGCGGUAAUACGUAGGGUGCAAGCGUUAAUCGGAAUUACUGGGCGUAAAGCGUGCGCAGGCGGUUUUGUAAGUCUGAUGUGAAAUCCCCGGGCUCAACCUGGGAAUUGCAUUGGAGACUGCAAGGCUAGAAUCUGGCAGAGGGGGGUAGAAUUCCACGUGUAGCAGUGAAAUGCGUAGAUAUGUGGAGGAACACCGAUGGCGAAGGCAGCCCCCUGGGUCAAGAUUGACGCUCAUGCACGAAAGCGUGGGGAGCAAACAGGAUUAGAUACCCUGGUAGUCCACGCCCUAAACGAUGUCUACUAGUUGUCGGGUCUUAAUUGACUUGGUAACGCAGCUAACGCGUGAAGUAGACCGCCUGGGGAGUACGGUCGCAAGAUUAAAACUCAAAGGAAUUGACGG
This 912-nucleotide ribosomal RNA is filed under the name uncultured bacterium. Its description in RNAcentral is "bacterial SSU rRNA". It matches the Rfam family "Bacterial small subunit ribosomal RNA", at positions 8 to 916 of the family's 1533-position model. The record is from RNAcentral.